This is a long non-coding RNA of Nelumbo nucifera (sacred lotus), 1095 nucleotides long. RefSeq lists it as uncharacterized. Lineage: Eukaryota; Viridiplantae; Streptophyta; Magnoliopsida; Proteales; Nelumbonaceae. The record is from RefSeq and is a predicted model, not a curated record.
UUACCUAAAAAAAUUAUUUUCCCCUUUCCCAACAACCCUAAUAGUGUUUCAUUCUUUACAGGUACUGUUCCAAGAAACUCACAAGCAACAGGCAAUCGGAAACCAACAACCGGCAACCAGCGACAUGCUCACCGACAUCUUAUUCUCUCCGUACUCCAUCGGUUAACCUUCUUCUUUUAUUCUCCACAACAUCCUGUUUCAAGAGAUUCCACCUACAUCCGGCAUCCAACAAUCGAGGACAUGCUCACCGACAUCCUAUUCUAUGCAUACUCCUCCAUCGCUUAGCUUUGUUUUUCUUAUCUCCAAUAGUAGUGUGUCUCCUUCCCAAGAACCCUAAUAAUGUCUUGUUCUCCCCAUUCAUUCUCUACAGCGUACUGUUCCAAGUAACUUCACAGGCAACCAGCAUCUUAUUCUCUUUGUACUCCAUUGGUUAACCUUCUUCUAUUCCAUAACGUCCUGUUCCAAGAGACUCCACCUACAUCUGGCAUCUGGCAACUAGCAACCGACAAUCGAGGAUGUGCUCACCGAUACACUGGUGGACUUAAAGCUACGAUAUGGUCGAAAUCCUACAACUGAUCCAUUUUGUGGAGUUGGAGCAAAGAGUUUUAUUAUAUGGGCUGUCACUACGUUUUCCCAAGACUUGCUUCCUAAUUACUUCAUAAGGAGUUCAAGCUUCAUAAGGCAGCUCAACACCUUUCUGUCAAUUGAAGAGGAAUGUGCAUCUUUGGGACUUGAGAGGAAUGUGCAUCAAUGCACGACAAGCUAACUUGAUGGAAGCAAAAGCAAUGGAAACCAAAGUUUAUGGCAUUGGAAGCAAAAGUGGAUGGGAUACAAUGAGCACAAGGACACACUCGAAGAAUGACGCUCUUGACUUUGUUCUUUUUUUUUGUGUAACCUUGAUGUGUUUAAAGGUUGUCUUGUGUAAUGAUACUUAACUUGCUCUUGAAACCACUAUAUUUGUAGGUUUUUUUUUUUUGUUAUUUUUUAAACUAGAAAAUCAAUUUUCAAAUGGUCAUGUGUUUCUCUCUUUUCAGAGCGAGUUUUUUUUUCCAUUUCAAAUAUUAUUUAUAAAAUAAGAUUUGUCUUUCUUCUCAA